Molecule: long non-coding RNA, 211 nt
Filed under: Lepisosteus oculatus (spotted gar)
Lineage: Eukaryota; Metazoa; Chordata; Actinopteri; Semionotiformes; Lepisosteidae
Description: lncRNA (ENSLOCG00000022967.1)
Source: RNAcentral
UUGAAAAAUGUCUUGUGUUAUGUAGGCGUGUGAGUUCAGCUGGGGUACCAGAUGUUGAAGAACUACCGGGUGCUAGCGAUGAUACCACGCUACAAGUGACCCGGGUGUGCCAUCGACCGAAGAAUGAAGAAUUUCGAAUGUAUACGUCUGAAUUCUUACUAAGAGUGCUUUACACACUUCUCUCUACAAAGUUUGAUAUGAAAAACAAAGA